RNAcentral lists this ribosomal RNA (484 nucleotides) under uncultured bacterium. RNAcentral describes it as "partial 16S ribosomal RNA". It matches the Rfam family "Bacterial small subunit ribosomal RNA", at positions 30 to 507 of the family's 1533-position model. The record is from RNAcentral.
AUUGAACGCUGGCGGCAGGCCUAACACAUGCAAGUCGAGCGGAUGAAGGGAGCUUGCUCCUGGAUUCAGCGGCGGACGGGUGAGUAAUGCCUAGGAAUCUGCCUGGUAGUGGGGGAUAACGUCCGGAAACGGGCGCUAAUACCGCAUACGUCCUGAUGGAGAAAGUGGGGGAUCUUCGGACCUCACGCUAUCAGAUGAGCCUAGGUCGGAUUAGCUAGUUGGUGGGGUAAAGGCCUACCAAGGCGACGAUCCGUAACUGGUCUGAGAGGAUGAUCAGUCACACUGGAACUGAGACACGGUCCAGACGCCUACGGGAGGCAGCAGUGGGGAAUAUUGGACAAUGGGCGAAAGCCUGAUCCAGCCAGGCCGAGUGUGUGAAGAAGGUCUUCGGAUUGUAAAGCACGUUAAGUUGGGAGGAAGGGCAGUAAGUUAAUACCUUGCUGUUUUGACGUUACCAACAGAAUAAGCACCGGCUAACUUCGUG